RNAcentral lists this non-coding RNA (1194 nucleotides) under Lachnospiraceae bacterium MD335. Its description in RNAcentral is "Lachnospiraceae bacterium COE1 Bacterial large subunit ribosomal RNA". It matches the Rfam family "Bacterial large subunit ribosomal RNA", at positions 1 to 1201 of the family's 2925-position model. The record is from Rfam by way of RNAcentral. Lineage: Bacteria; Bacillati; Bacillota; Clostridia; Lachnospirales; Lachnospiraceae.
GGUUAAGCAAAGAAGGGCACAGGGCGGAUGCCUUGGCACUGAGAGCCGAUGAAAGACGCGAUAAGCUGCGAAAAGCUGCGGAGAGGAGCACAUAUCCAGUGACCCGCAGGUGUCUGAAUGGGGAAACCCACAUGAGCAGCCCUCAUGUACCGUACAGUGAAUCCAUAGCUGUACGGGGGGAACCCGGUGAACUGAAACAUCUAAGUAGCCGGAGGAAAAGAAAGAAAAUUUUCGAUUUCCAAAGUAGCGGCGAGCGAAAUGGAAAGAGCCCAAACCGCCAUGCGUGCAUGGCGGGGUUCGGACUGCAUAAGUGAUUCCCGAUUGUUAGCCAAACGGUCCUGGAAAGACCGGCCAGAGAGGGUGAAAGCCCCGUAGGCGAAAACGAAAGGGACACGGCAGGAUCCAGAGUACCACGGGACACGAGAAACCCUGUGGGAAUGAGCGGGGACCACCCCGUAAGGCUAAAUACUGCUCAGUGACCGAUAGCGCACAGUACUGUGAAGGAAAGGUGAAAAGAACCCCGGGAGGGGAGUGAAAGAGAACCUGAAACCCUGUGUCUACAAGCUGUGGAAGUGCCUUAUGAGCACAACCGCGUACUUUUUGUAGAACGGUCCGGCGAGUUGCGCAGACUGGCAAGGUUAAGCGUCCCAGACGCGGAGCCAAAGAGAAAUCAAGUCUUAACAGGGCCACAGUCAGCCGGCGCAGACCCGAAACCGGGUGAUCUAUCCAUGUCCAGGAUGAAGCUGCCGUAAAAGGCAGUGGAGGUCCGAACGCACAUCCGUUGAAAAGGGUGGCGAUGAGGUGUGGAUAGGGGAGAAAUUCCAAUCGAACCCGGAGAUAGCUGGUUCUCCCCGAAACAGCUUUAGGGCUGGCCUCACGGGAGUCAUAUGGAGGUAGAGCACUGAAUACCCGCGGGGGCGUCAAAGCUUACCAAAGGUUAUCAAACUCCGAAUGCCAUUAUGAUGCUCCGUGGGAGUCAGACUGCACGAGAUAAGUCGGGCAGUCAAAAGGGAAAGAGCCCAGACCCGCGGCUAAGGUCCCAAAGUGUGUGUUAAGUGGAAAAGGAUGUGGGAUUUCGAAGACAGCUAGGAUGUUGGCUCAGAAGCAGCCACACAUUCAAAGAGUGCGUAACAGCUCACUAGUCGAGAGGUCCCGCGCCGAAAAUGUCCGGGGCUGAAACACACCGCCGAAGCC